Molecule: long non-coding RNA, 1518 nt
Organism: Thalassophryne amazonica
Lineage: Eukaryota; Metazoa; Chordata; Actinopteri; Batrachoidiformes; Batrachoididae
Exons: 3
Source: RefSeq, a predicted model, not a curated record
UCAUUGUAAAGAUAACUAUAAAAGUGUGAAAUUUCCCCUUUUUUCUGUUUUUCAUACAAUGUGAUCAAAGGACAUAAGUGCCCGUAGUCUAAGAAUCACCCACAUAUUGGUAGACCUCUUCUCUUCUUGAGGUCCUGAUACCAGUUAACUGGCCACAAGCAAGUUUUCAGUUCCUUUGCAGGUUUCUGGAGUAUGGGGAAGUGGAACGUGCAGUCUAGAGAGUGAAAAACCUACAGAAAAAGGAGGAAGAUCAUUCCCUAGCAGAGCCACACCUCUCCAAAGCGGGUACAGUCCAUUUCAACUUAUGGGGCGGCAUCUUCAUACCACCCUACUAACUCUACCCUCCCUGCAGGACAGCAAUACUUCUGUACCAACGAAAUGGAGCAAAGGAUGCCAGAUGCUGCAGACUAUAACAGGUGUCAUUGUACCAAAAGCCUUGGUGCCCUGUCACCGUGGAGACCCUGUAUGGGUAAUGGAUGAAAAGACACCUAGGACUGUUCUCCAAAAUUUCUUCCUCAGAGGGAGUUUUUCCUUACCACUGUUGCUCUGGGGGUUGGUAAGGUUAGACCUUACCUGUGUGAAACGCCUUGAGGCAACUCUGUUGUGAUUUGGCACUAUAUAAAUGAAAAUAAAUUGAAAUUGAAAAUACCUCCACUCCGAGGUCCUACAAACAUGUGCACCAAAGAGAGUCUGCAACACUGCCUCAAACACCUGGGCCAACUUCAGAGCAGGGUCCCAUGUCACCUGGUGAAGUACCCCUGUCACACCUGCAGUCAUCCACAAGGACUAGGUCUUGGAGAGCCAUUGUUAAGCGGACUCUACUUGUGAACUUAAAAACAAACAAACACAAAACAGCCAUCUUGAGUGUAAAGAAAUGUUAUGAGGAUUAUGCAGAUACGGUCCCAGAAAAAAGGUUACUUUGUAUUUAUGGUGUGUAUUUUUGAGGACUAUCAGUUAAUGUAGGAAUUUAUUAAAUACUUUGGUUGUGGGUUGCUUGUUCUGGCUGAUUAAUUUCUGCGCCUUCUCUCUUUUUUUAAGGUGCUAUUGAUCUUCAGUGACGGUUGAACUACUUGGUGGUUCCCUACCUGACCAUUUGAUGGUUGGAUGAAGAUUUAACACUUGUUAAUUCCCCACUCGUGAGGAACUGUGGGUCAUGCCACCCACUGGGCUCUAUCUCUCAGGGAUGUCCAAUGUGGACAUUCAUUUUUGUCUGCAUGUUUGACAGUUCUUUGUUGUAUACUAUUCACCUGAUUCUUGUUAUAGUAACAAGGUGAAGUCCACAUUGGAAAGAUGUUACUUCUAACUUGGCUAGUAAGGAAUUCCCAUUUGGCUGACCGGGUAGAGCCUUGGCUGCAAGUACGAUCGAGCUGGUGUUUCAACCCCACUGUGGCCAUAAAGAUAGGUCAUCCAGUCACAUUAUUGUUCAUUUGGCCUAAGCAGCUGUUCAACCCUCUUGAGUCUGGUCUGCUUGAGAUUUCUUCCUGAAAAACUCCCUAGGGAGUUUUUCCUUACCACUGU